Molecule: unclassified non-coding RNA, 169 nt
Filed under: uncultured fungus
Lineage: Eukaryota; Fungi
Also listed under: 1 other name
Description: sequence contains ITS1, 5.8S rRNA gene
Source: RNAcentral
CAGAGUUCAUGCCCUCCGGGUAGAUCUCCCACCCAGUGCUAUCACUACUCUCGUUGCUUUGGCGGGCCGCUGGGCCCUGCCCGGCCGCCGGCCCCGGCUGGCGCGUGCCCGCCAGAGACCUUCACAGACUCUGAAUGUUAGUGUCGUCCGAGUAACUAUACAAUCGUUA